Molecule: unclassified non-coding RNA, 402 nt
Filed under: soil metagenome
Description: partial contains 5.8S ribosomal RNA, internal transcribed spacer 2, and large subunit ribosomal RNA
Rfam family: 5.8S ribosomal RNA (bases 1-121)
Source: RNAcentral
GAUGAAGAACGUAGCGAAAUGCGAUAAGUAAUGUGAAUUGCAGAAUUCAGUGAAUCAUCGAAUCUUUGAACGCACCUUGCGCCCUUUGGAUAUUCUGAAGGGCAUGCCUGUUUGAGUAUCGUGAACACCUCAACUCUCAUGGUCUGCCAUGAUGAGCUUGGACUUUGGGGGUCUUGCUGGCCUACUGUCAGCUCCUCUCAAAUGAAUCAGCUUACCAGUGUUUGGUGGCACCACAGGUGUGAUAACUAUCUACGCUUGUGGUUUUCUGCCAGGUAACCUCCAGUGAUGGAGGUUCGCUGGAGCUCACAAAUGUCUCUCCUCAGCGAGGACAGCUUUUUGAACGUUUGAUCUCAAAUCAGGUAGGACUACCCGCUGAACUUAAGCAUAUCAAUAAGCGGAGGA